CCCCCGAAGAGCCCCAUUCUCUCAUAGAUGGGGCUUUUGGAAGGUGGCUGGAUCAUGGGGUCCUAUAGCCCAGUGUGCUGCUAGGAGGUGGGGCCUGGCUGGAAGACAAAACCCACAAGGUGUUAUAAAUGACGCAUGUGAAACCACUCGCUGGAGACAGGCUGUUGUGAGGAAAAGAAAAGUUUAUUCCAGUGAGCAGAGACUAAAAUCAGGGACUAAAAUCAGGGAGAGAUUCUGGCUGCUAGCUGCAAAAAGCCGAGUUUGUUACAUCCGUGUGUGGAGGGGCUGACAUUGGGAGUGAGACAGCAGCAGCUAGCUGGGAGAGGUUUCAUCUGUCAGUGGCUGGGCUAACACCAGGAGAGAGAUAUCAGCAGCUGACUGGGAAAGGAAUUAGGCUUAUGUAGGUAUUGAAGGGGCUAAGGAAUCUGGGGUGAAAUGUUUACGAUCGAGUCCAAGGACAGUCAGCACAGGACUCACAGGUCAGCCAUGACACAAGGGGCGUGGCCUGGGAGGCUGCAUUGCCCAACCUGGCUCCUCCCUUCUUGCUCUGCUUCCUGAGAGCCAUGAGGUGAGCAGAUUUCCUCCACCCAGGUGCUUGCUCCAAGCCCCCGGCUAUGCAUGGACUAAAGCUCUUGUGAGCCACAAUGAACUUCUCCUCCUGUAAGUUGUGGGUAUCGGGUAUUUUGUCAAAGAAAGGGCCUAAGACCAUGGCCUUCCCGUGGCUUCCCACCCCUCCUGAGUAUGCUUCGAGCCCCUUUCCCUGGUGGACAAGCCCAGCCUUGUCUCUGGGGUGUAGUCACCCCCCCCCCCCCGUCUUUCUGGGUGCCCCAGGCCAGCUUCCGCUCUUCCUCCCACCUGCACAGCUCUCUCCCCUUCCCCUGGCCUCUGUCCUGUCUCCCUCUGGCCUGGAACACCCUCAGGGCUCCUCCUUCCCCUCAGGGUGCUCCCACAUCGCUGCAUUUUGACUUUCUGCCUUUCUGUAUAACCAUCACCACCCUCUGCUAUCUUCCUUUUCCCUCUUUGUCUGCCCACCUGUCUCUCUCCAGCAGCAUAGCUGCCAGGUGAACACCUGCUUGCCAGUUGGUCACAGUUAAAUCUCAGCCUCUUGGAUGGUGCCUGCUCGGCCUGCAGUGGACACUCUGAGGCUCCUGUCAGGUCACAGCAUCUGGGUCCUCAGUUAGAAGACAGAGGCGCCUUCUCCUGCCUGUUCACCCCCCAGCUGGCUGCAGAUCCACGAGAGAGAUCAGCCCAGCCCGGGAGUCCAGAGGGGCUGUCCGGCCACCUCGGAGUUGGAGCUGACCGUGGUGAGUGAAGGUGCCGGCUGGAACCUCUCCGUGACUGCCAAAGGACAGAUCCCGGCGGAGCGAAGGGAUCGCUGCAUGUCUAGGAAGCACUUAAUCCACACUGCUGAUCGUGCUCCAGAAAGGCUGUGUCCGUCAGCGUCUCUGGGGCAGAAUGUGAGACCACUCAGGGCUCCGUCCUCUCCAACUCUGGGUGUUAUUCUACCAGGUAUCUACCAGUUUGAUAUGUGAAGAAUAGCACAUUGUUUUGGUUUGGUAUGUUUUUAUAGUUAUCAGUUGUUGGUGAGGACUGGCUUCUUAUUUAUUUAUUUAUGUAUGUAUCUUUUUUGAGACUCGCUGUGCAGUUAGUUCAGCCUGGCCUUGAACUCGCAGCCGUCCUCCUGGCUCAGCCUUCUGAGUGCUGGGAUUACAGGCGUGCGCCACUGUACUGGGCGAUUCUUAUCCUUUAAAAACCCCAAAUCAGAGGAAGAAUUCCUGCCUCUUGUGUCCUUGUUUCUCUUUUGGGGACAUGAGAAGCCCAGAAGCCUGAAAGUACUGGCCCGUGGUCUUGACAGCUAGCAAAGCAGCCCCUUCAUUUCUGCGGCAGUUACCGGCCGAUGAUCUCCCUAAUGCGCUCCUUCGGUGCUGCCCCGGUCACCCCGGCUGGAGCUCUGCCUAAUGAUAUUUUUAUAGCCGGGUGCUGUGCGGCCUCAUUAGGCCCCAGUGAAGGCCACGUGUUGUUCUGUGCGCUGAGGACGGUGGGGACUCCGCUCGUCAGCCAGGCGAGUGCGUGGCGGGGCGGCUGUGCCCGAGCAGAGGACUGUGUGUCAGAAGGCGACCAGGAGCUCCCCGGUGCCCUUGCAGCUGAAGGAACCGAAGCCCAGAGAAUGACAGUCCCUGGCUGGGGGACCCACACGCGGCCAGGGGUGGUGCGCUGUGCCAGGAGUGUGUAGACCCCGCGGGGUUUCGAGGCUCAUAGUACAAAGAUAGGAAGAAUGUAUAAUAUUCGUAUUUUUAAAAUAUCCAUUGAUGUUGAAAUUCUAUUCCGGAUGUGUUGGGUUAAACGAACAUAAUAUUAAAAUGAAUCUUGUUUUUUCUUUUUUUUAGGCACUAGAAAAAAUGUAAGGAUGCGUGCAGGUUUUACUGUAUUUCAGCUGGAUGGUGCUGGGCUAAGUCCUCAUAAGGAGUCUUCGGCUGUGGGAGGCUUGUGCGUGUGUGCGUGUACAUAUGAGCAUGUGUUCGUGUGUGUGUAUGUUUAUGUGUGAGAUGAAGUUGUGAAUGUGUCUGUGAGUGCACGUACAUAGAUAGGUAUAUGCGUAUGUGUGCCUGACGUGUGUGUGGGGUGUGUUCCUGAGCGUAUGCGUGAUGUGUGCAUAUGUGAAGGUGUAUGGUGUGGGUGUGUAUGGGCAGACAGCCCUGCUGGGCUACAUGGACCAGAUUCGGAGAGGUCUGAUCCCGUCCUGGGGCGCCGCGGUGCCUGCCGUGUGCCAGGCCUGCUGCACGGGGUCUCCCCACUUCUGCAGGAAGCUCUGUCCCGCCUCACAGGCUCAGAGGGGCUGAGUGAGUCCAGAAGGUCGCACACGCAGAGGCGAAGGGAACAGGAUGUGGUGGGGUCCACGCCACUGUCCCUGCAGGCCAGGCCACCCAGCUGAGAUCUCAGCAGCUGCACCUCCCUGUGCUCACAGGCAGCCAGGACGGGGCAUUGAGAGGGGUGAUGGUAAAAGCGACUCUCUUGGUUGUGGUGGCCUUGGUGCUGGGCCACGGCACAUGCAGCCAGAGCUCACGCUUGGCCACACAGCUCAAGAAAUGAAGAAACGACAAAGUUAUGCUUGGCUUUUUUUUUCAACAUGUGCAAAUAAAAACUUGUAUUUUGUUGUUGUUUCAGUGCUGGGAAUGAACCAAGGGCUUUGCACAUGCAAGGACUUGCUCAGACGAAACACAAGGGGUCUGGAAAGCACAGCCUUGCUGAGUGCCAGGAGGGAAGAAAAUGGUCUUUGAGGACAGGACUCCUGCUUGGCCAUACCAGCUGCAGCCAUGGCAGGGACACCGUGAGCUGCUGCAUGGAUGUGACCUUCUCUGCCUGGGGUGUUGAGUGGUGACCACGUUCACUCACAGAUUUGGGCCAAAAGAGGAGAACAGCUACCUGGCACUGGACACUAGGGUCGGGUGGGCCCCUGAGCCCUCAACUUCAAGUUCCCAGAGAGGUUGGUUGUCCGGGAUGCACAGGAGCUGCUGCUCAUGAGGCUGGGGUUCCUGGGAAAGCCACCGUGUCAUCUUUGCUGCUAAACCCCAAGGUGUGGUCAAGGCUGGCACAUAGUUAAGGGAAGAACUGAAGUCAGAAUGUGCAUGACAAACUAAUCAGGCCCACUGAACUGGAAUCUAUGGUGUCAGGUGUAGCUGCAACUUCGUGUUUCACCGUCACCUGGAGGCUUGGACCAAGGGGAGCCUGUACCUCUGGGAUUCACCGUGCCCACUGCUCCUGCUAGGAGGACAAAGGCAGAAAGGCCCGGGAACAACAAACAGGAGCUCAGAUGGCCGGGGCUUUGCCUUUUCCGCUACCUUGAUCCUGGCUUGGUGUCCACAAGUUCUCACUCUCCAAGACCGGGAGGAUGCCAGGAACGGCCCUCAGUCCCGAGAACUCUGCCUGGGGUGCUGUGCCGUUGAAGGAGGCAUUCUCGAACUCAGUAGAUUCUAUCCUGCUGGAACAGCGGUCAGCAAACUGUGAUCCAAAGACUAAGCUCAGCCUGUCACUGGCUCUGUAAAUUUUAUCUGUCUCAGUACAUGUUUGCAGUACGUGAUGAUACUCAUCGUGGACUGUUGGCGUAUGUGUAUAACACAGCUGAAUUCUUUCUCAAUCCGCUUUUCCUUUCUUCCUUCCCUCCUCCAUUUCUCGAUCCCCUUCCCAUUCACAAAAUAUUUAUCUCCCCAUUUCCUAUCAUCUGUCUCUUAUUUUGCUCUUUA
This is a non-coding RNA of Heterocephalus glaber (naked mole-rat), 4241 nucleotides long. NCBI's taxonomy places the organism in Eukaryota, Metazoa, Chordata, Mammalia, Rodentia, Bathyergidae. The record is from RefSeq and is a predicted model, not a curated record.